RNAcentral lists this ribosomal RNA (546 nucleotides) under Fusarium sp. Fs003TNTR-S. RNAcentral describes it as "eukaryotic LSU rRNA". The stretch from base 179 to 332 matches the Rfam family "5.8S ribosomal RNA". The record is from RNAcentral. Lineage: Eukaryota; Fungi; Ascomycota; Sordariomycetes; Hypocreales; Nectriaceae.
UCCGUAGGUGAACCUGCGGAGGGAUCAUUACCGAGUUUACAACUCCAAAACCCCUGUGAACAUACCAAUUGUUGCCUCGGCGGAUCAGCCCGCUCCCGGUAAAACGGGACGGCCCGCCAGAGGACCCCUAAACUCUGUUUCUAUAUGUAACUUCUGAGUAAAACCAUAAAUAAAUCAAAACUUUCAACAACGGAUCUCUUGGUUCUGGCAUCGAUGAAGAACGCAGCAAAAUGCGAUAAGUAAUGUGAAUUGCAGAAUUCAGUGAAUCAUCGAAUCUUUGAACGCACAUUGCGCCCGCCAGUAUUCUGGCGGGCAUGCCUGUUCGAGCGUCAUUUCAACCCUCAAGCCCAGCUUGGUGUUGGGACUCGCGAGUCAAAUCGCGUUCCCCAAAUUGAUUGGCGGUCACGUCGAGCUUCCAUAGCGUAGUAGUAAAACCCUCGUUACUGGUAAUCGUCGCGGCCACGCCGUUAAACCCCAACUUCUGAAUGUUGACCUCGGAUCAGGUAGGAAUACCCGCUGAACUUAAGCAUAUCAAUAAGCGGAGGA